CAGUAGCCGCGGGAAUACGAAGGGGGCUAGCGUUGCUCGGAAUGACUGGGCGUAAAGGGCGCGUAGGCGGAUUGUUUAGUUAGGCGUGAAAUUCCUGGGCUUAACCUGGGGACUGCGCUUAAUACAGGCAGUCUAGAGUGAGGAAGAGGGUUGUGGAAUUCCCAGUGUAGAGGUGAAAUUCGUAGAUAUUGGGAAGAACACCAGUGGCGAAGGCGGCUCACUGGACCGACACUGACGCUGAGGCGCGAAAGCGUGGGGAGCAAACAGGACUAGAGACCCGAGUAGUCCCUGUCUCUUAUAC
Molecule: ribosomal RNA, 301 nt
Filed under: uncultured bacterium
Lineage: Bacteria
Description: partial 16S ribosomal RNA
Rfam family: Bacterial small subunit ribosomal RNA
Source: RNAcentral